This is a long non-coding RNA of Onychostoma macrolepis, 591 nucleotides long. RefSeq lists it as uncharacterized. Lineage: Eukaryota; Metazoa; Chordata; Actinopteri; Cypriniformes; Cyprinidae. The record is from RefSeq and is a predicted model, not a curated record. The transcript is spliced from 4 exons.
UAUUUAUGUAAUGUUCUAAUUUUAUUUAUGUAAAUUCUGCGUGACUGUGACUUGUAAUGCGUGCAUGCUGAACUUUCGAGCCGCGUUCAAACGCUGGAGCGGAGGGAGUUGCCAUGGAAACGGAGCGGCAACACAACGACUGACAAGCAGGAAGCUCCGUUUCUCGCUGCUGUUUUUACUGUUUUCGAAGAAAAACAAAAGCACGGCAAGGCUCCAAGAUUUCACAAUUUCUGAAGGGAGCCGCAGACGGAGAAGUAAGGAACACAAGUGAACAGACUCAGAGCGGACCUCCUGUCGGACAACAACUCCCAGGCACAAUGAACAAUAUGAAGACUGAGGUGGAAGAACAAGAGUAGAAGACGAGUACAGAGGAAAAUGAUUAUCAACAUGUUGUUGUUAGUAGUAGUAGUAAUUUAUAGUUAUAGGUAAUUUAUUUAUAGUUAAUACUGUAAUUUAUUUGUUCAUGCUGUAUCGUUGCUUAAUAUGCUUGCACCUGUGCAUGUUUAUUUUUGUAUACUUGAUAAUUAAAUGUUUUGGAAGUAUUUCAUGGCUUAUGCUAUUUUAUAUCAACAAUAAAACAAUGAAUAUGGA